RNAcentral lists this ribosomal RNA (263 nucleotides) under uncultured bacterium. RNAcentral describes it as "partial 16S ribosomal RNA". It matches the Rfam family "Bacterial small subunit ribosomal RNA", at positions 793 to 1055 of the family's 1533-position model. The record is from RNAcentral.
GUCCUAGCCGUAACAAUGAGCACUGGGUUGGAGGCUCCUCCAUAGGCUUCCGGCCGCAGCGAAGCGUUUAGUGCUCCGCCUGGGGAGUAUGGUCGCAAGGCUGAACUCAAGGAAUUGACGGGGCUCACACAAGCGGUGGAGGAUGUGGCUUAAUUCGAGGCUACGCGAAGAACCUUAUCCUAGUCUUGACAUGCUUGGAUUAACCCCAUGAAAGUGGGCCACGCCUUCGGGUGGAACAAGCACAGGUGCUGCAUGGCUGUCGU